GUGAGGAAUAUUGGUCAAUGGACGAGAGUCUGAACCAGCCAAGUCGCGUGAAGGAAGACGGUUCUAUGAAUUGUAAACUUCUUUUGUGCAGGAAUAAAGUGGGUUACGUGUAACCUUUUGUAUGUACUGUACGAAUAAGGAUCGGCUAACUCCGUGCCAGCAGCCGCGGUAAUACGGAGGAUCCGAGCGUUAUCCGGAUUGAUUGGGGUUAAAGGGUGCGUAGGUGGAUUGAUAAGUCAGCGGUGAAAGUUUGCAGCUUAACUGUAAAAUUGCCGUUUAAACUGUCGAUCUUGAGUGCAAAUGAGGUAGGCGGAAUGUGUUGUGUAGCGGUGAAAUGCUUAGAUAUAACACAGAACUCCGAUUGCGAAGGCAGCUUACUGGGAUGCAACUGACACUGAUGCACGAAAGCGUGGGUAUCAAACAGGAUUAGAAACCCGUGUAGUCC
Molecule: ribosomal RNA, 445 nt
Filed under: uncultured bacterium
Lineage: Bacteria
Description: partial 16S ribosomal RNA
Rfam family: Bacterial small subunit ribosomal RNA
Source: RNAcentral